Cordylochernes scorpioides is the source of this 82-nucleotide non-coding RNA. NCBI's taxonomy places the organism in Eukaryota, Metazoa, Arthropoda, Arachnida, Pseudoscorpiones, Chernetidae. The record is from the annotation of a GenBank genome assembly.
UCCAGGGUAGCUUAGUGAUCAUGGCAUCUGCAUGGUAAGCGGAUAAGCGGAACACUGUUGGGUUCGAUUCCCAUCCCUGGAC